GCACCCUUAGCUCAGCUGGCAGAGCAACUGACUCUUAAUCAGUGGGUCCGGGGUUCGAAUCCCCGAGGGUGUACCA
RNAcentral lists this transfer RNA (76 nucleotides) under Coprobacillus sp. CAG:698. Its description in RNAcentral is "transfer RNA-Lys(CTT)". It matches the Rfam family "tRNA". From Rfam's summary of the family: Transfer RNA (tRNA) molecules are approximately 80 nucleotides in length. Their secondary structure includes four short double-helical elements and three loops (D, anti-codon, and T loops). Further hydrogen bonds mediate the characteristic L-shaped molecular structure. tRNAs have two regions of fundamental functional importance: the anti-codon, which is responsible for specific mRNA codon recognition, and the 3' end, to which the tRNAs corresponding amino acid is attached (by aminoacyl-tRNA synthetases). tRNAs cope with the degeneracy of the genetic code in two manners: having more than one tRNA (with a specific anti-codon) for a particular amino acid; and 'wobble' base-pairing, i.e. permitting non-standard base-pairing at the 3rd anti-codon position. Lineage: Bacteria; Bacillati; Bacillota; Erysipelotrichia; Erysipelotrichales; Coprobacillaceae. The record is from RNAcentral. RNAcentral also lists the same sequence under 2 other names.